GGAAUUUUUUAGUGCAAACGUGCUGCCAGUGGAUUUGCAUUGUACUGCUUGUCAGCCAUUGUCAUGAUUCUGUGCUAACAAUCCCAAGCAAAGACCACUGUACCAUUGUACAUGAAUAAUUGAUUUAUUAGCAAAACAACUGCAGGGGACUGAGUCAUGUUUCGUUGAGAGUGUCACAGGUCAGAGCUGGCUUUCUUUUUAUGGACACAGCUGCAAAAGUCUGAGAGUUGUCAGCCUCCUCGUUAGCUUUUUUUUUCUUUUGUUACUUUGGAUGAGGCGUCUGACUGACUUGAAAGACGUGCGUCAUGAAUGUCCAUCUGUGCAGCUGUCUCUGUGAAGAAAAUGAGCAGUCUUUGACUUGUGGAUGCCAAUUGAAAGACGACACCAAUUAUUUGGGUUGUAUUUGAAAGCGGAGAUGUGGUGCGUGGCGUUGUUUUGGUUCUGAGACGACUCCAUUUGGCCUUUCUUGACAGUGAACAGCAGGGUGUCAGGAGAGUUGUAGCAGUCAUGCCCUCAUUUCUCUACAGGUCAUUCUGGUCAAGGAUAAUUAUGUCAUGAACAAUUGUGUGGCAUGUAUUUUUAUCCCCUACUAAUCGUGUUGCAUUUUCAAACUGACUGAAGUGCUUUUUUUUAUACAAUUUCUUUGAAUCACAGGCUGAGAAAGAAUGUCUGAAAGGAGAUCAGGUACUUUGAAUUUACUUAAUUGUAUUUUCUCUGAGGCCUCCUGUACUAUUGUGUUUUUACUUGCAUUUUUCUUGUAAGCAUAAAUGUCACAAUUUGCUAUUUUCAGGGUCUCCAAGGUGAAAAAGGAGAGAAGGGAUCGGCUGGAGUGCCUGGUCGUCCAGGGGAAGCGGGGAAAGAGGGCAAAAGGGGGCGGAGAGGAAAACCUGGACCCAAAGGCUCGCCUGGUCCCGCAGGAGCCGCCGAAGGAGCAAGUGCCAAGGUAUUACCCAAACAUUUUUCACCACAAAACAAAUACUGACAAGCGGCGUUUAAAGUAGAUUCGAGGUGUCUCCCGCUUUUGAUAAACUGGCCCUUACCUUCACUUCGAGCAAGUGUGAAUUGCCAAGAUGACUGAGCAGUGUUCACUGUAGCAGCCUCCCGAACAGCCAAGGAGUUUAAUCAUCUGC
This 1130-nucleotide long non-coding RNA is filed under the name Oreochromis niloticus (Nile tilapia). Its description in RNAcentral is "lncRNA (ENSONIG00000028225.1)". The record is from RNAcentral. Lineage: Eukaryota; Metazoa; Chordata; Actinopteri; Cichliformes; Cichlidae.